UUCUGUUGACCCAGCCACGUCUACACGGGGGGCUAGGUCGGCUUACUUACAGCCCGCAGAGGGGGGAGAGUUGUUCACACCCGCAGCUCGGUGCAGGCCUUAGGGAGCGGUGGGGCUCCACCCCAGGGGUGGCUGCACGCCAGCAAAGGAGCCCGGGGCGGAGCCCGGGGCGGGCGGGAGAAGGAAGGAGCCCGGGGCUGGAGGAGAGCGGGGAAGGGACCCAGCGAGCGGCAGGGGCGCGGGUUCCGUGGCCGGCGCAGACACGCGUGGCCCGGGCAGGGCUGAGACACGCACCGGCCCCGGGUAGCCGGAGCCCGGCGCUCACAGGAGCGGCGCGGGCUCGGGCUGAGUCUCGGCGCUGGGAGCCCGGCAGAACUUUCCUCCCGCAGCCGCCGCGUCCCGGCUGGCCGGGCCCUGGGAGCCGCUUCGCUCCGCCGCCCCCUGCUCCCCUCCCUCCGCUCGCUCCUCUCCUCUCCUUUCUUCCUCAGCUGCCUCUGGGCCGGGCCCCCUUCCCCUGGGCUCUCCCUCCUCUCCUCUCCUGCCCUCUAGCCUUUCCUUCCCCUUCUGCUGACCUCUCCUACUUUCCUUCCCCCCACACCCACAUUCCCUUCCCUUCUCCCCCACCCAGCCACCCCUAUGCCCCACUCCACCAUGCUGAUGGGGACCAUGCCCCCAACGGAGGUGUACCCCUCUGAGCGGGUCAUCGUGCUGGUCUCCUGUGUCCUCUCCUUCCUGGGCUCCAGCCUCCUGGUCUUCACCCAUGCCCUUUGGCCCGAGCUGCGGACCCGUCCCCGGCAGCUCCUGCUCUACCUGUCCCUGGCCGACCUCCUUUCGGCUGCAUCCUACUUCUACGGGGUGCUGCAGGACUUCGACGCGACCUCAUGGGACUGCGUGCUGCAGGGCGCCCUGUCCACCUUCUCCAACACCAGCUCUUUCUUCUGGACCAUGGCCAUUGCCUUCUACCUGUACAUCACCAUUGUGAGGGGUGCGCCAACGGGCACUGGCCUGCUCUGCUUCUUCCACAUCAUGAGCUGGGGAAUCCCGCUUGCCAUCACCGUGGCUGCUGUUGCUCUGAAGAAGAUUGGCUAUGAUGCAUCAAACAUCUCUGUGGGCUGGUGCUGGGUCAACCUGGAAGCAGCGGAUCAGGUCCUGUGGAUGUUGUUGACAGGGAAAUUGUGGGAGCUGCUGGCGUAUGUGAUCCUACCAGUCCUUUACAUCCUCAUCAAGAAGCACAUCAAUAGAGCGCAUGAGGCACUCUCCGAAUAUCGCCCCAUACUAGCCAGGGCUCCUGCCUUUCAGCCCAGGACUUCCAUAGCAGAUAAGAAAUUGAUCCUCAUCCCUCUCAUUUUCAUCUUCCUCCGCAUCUGGAGCACUAUCCGAUUCAUCCUGACCCUUUGCAGCUCUCCUGCCGUGCAAAAUCCAGUCCUGGUGGUCUUGCACGGAAUUGGGAACACGUUCCAGGGAGGUGCCAACUGCAUUAUGUUUGUCCUCUGCACCCGUGUGAUCCGGACCCGGCUGCUCUCUUCCCUUUGCUGUGGUCGCUACGGAGGCUCGCGUCAGUCUUCGCAGAGGCUAGAGCAGGGUUACCAGCAUGCCAAACCCCCCAAGAACACACAGGCUGAACAGACGAAGGCUGAAUUUGCAAGCACCUGAGCCUUGAAUCUCCGCGUCUGAGUGUGAGAUUCCGUCAUUCUUGGUAAAGGUUUAACUGUAACUGAAUUACCACCAAGUGCCUAUAGAGGGAGCUAGAGGCCUAAGGAAAAGGAACUCCCACUUGAACCAUUAACAUGCAGGCACCGACUGAGAGCGUCUUUAUGGACAUCUCUCUCCAUGGAAUUCAGAUGCCAGCUGCCUUAGCUCUUCUCUCAAGAUUUCCGGGAAUGUGCUGCCGGGUCACACUCCAACUUCCAGUCUCAUCCCCGUGCCCCUUCUGCAGAAGUUUACAAAUGGUUCCUGGGUUCUGAUUUUCUAUUUUACUAAGACGAUUUCUCACCGUGCGGCUGGAGUGGGGGAAAAUCCACAACAUUCUGAAAACUCCAGCAGUUUCUGAGGAGAAGCACCAUGGAUGUGUGAUCAAUUAAUCGCCUGUGUCUUGAGGCCUUCAAGGGGGCUCCUGCUCUUCUACGCUUCAGAUGGUGGAUGGGGGACAAUAACUUGGCAAAGUCUUUCUUGGUUCUCCUUGGGGUGGGGAUGUGUCUUGGCUGUUUUGCUCCUUUUCCAGGGUCACAGCAGCUUGUCUCCCUUCUGGAUUUGGGAUGUGAAUGAGCUUGGGUGGCCGCUUGACUAAAUUAUGGCUCUAUGGACAAUUUGGUACUGAGGGUAGGUAAGUGGGCGAGCGUAUCAACCCGGCCAUCCAGCAAGAACAGCCCCUGAAGGAGACAGCUUGGACAUAUGGACACAUUUUGCUGCACAAAUCCUAAAUCCAGGUUUUCCUUCUUCCAAGGCACUGUCUGUUUUUAUUAAUGCUCCCCUUCUCCCACCGUGGUUUUUAAAAUCACAGCUUGGGCUUUAGGAGAUGCCAUCCCUUUUAGAACACAUCCUGUUUACAGCUCCUCAACUUUCCUUUCCUGGUGCACUUCCGAAACCUUUGUCUUUCUAACAAAAUCCUCACCGGAUUCCUGUCUCUGUAUGGACAGUGGUCUCCUUCCGGUGCAUUUUUUUUUAUGGAGAUGUUAUUAUUCAGUGUGAUAACGGCACAGAUUGGUCUGCAACACCUCUCCAGCCUGGGUUGGGGGAGGAGAGAGAUUGUGUGACAGUGUUUGUACAAGUUCGCAGUGUGUCUGUAAUUUAACAAAUGAUUGUCUAAGGCAUGCGCAGGGUGACUAAGCACAAGUCUUCCAUGCCAAUUGUAGAUGUUGCUCUUCCCGAUUGUUUUUACUCAGAUAUCAAGCUCUGACCAUCAUGGGGAGCAACCUGCUGAGCUGUGUGUGUGUGGGUUGGUUGAUGUCAUUUGGAAUGUCCACCGCUCUCUUGGUAUAAAAUUAAAGGCAGCAUCACCUGUUAUCAAGGGUGCUCAGCACUUCCCUUU
Dermochelys coriacea (leatherback sea turtle) is the source of this 3028-nucleotide RNA transcript. It is a transcript of the gene named G protein-coupled receptor 157, with no coding region annotated. The transcript is spliced from 5 exons. The record is from RefSeq and is a predicted model, not a curated record. Lineage: Eukaryota; Metazoa; Chordata; Testudines; Dermochelyidae.